AUGUGUGAACUGAACACAUUCCCACUCCAAACAGUGAUGGCUCUGAAUGUAUCCAAGAACUGGCAGACUGCCUUACUGCCAGCUGCAGAAGCAUGCCCGGCCCCUGCUGCUGCUCAUUUAAGCUGCACAGGAAACCCUGUAGCGCUGAUACAGCUGUGGGUCAUCAGCUCGUCAGUAUCAAAUGCUCAGUCAGGUUGUUUCCUACCUUGUCACUGUCUACAGUGUUCUGGGAUGUCCUGGAUGCAAUUGAGAUGGUGUCUGGUUGGCUGCUGCCGUCUCCCUGACUGUCUCCGUCUUCACCUCCCUCCCUGCAAAAACACGCAGCACAACCAGGAUGAAUGCCAAGGUGUAAAUGUGAAUGUAUUUGAGUGAAAUUACAGUGUUUCUGCAAAAACAUUGUAUUUCUGCAAAAUCAUAGUAUUUCUCUC
RNAcentral lists this long non-coding RNA (428 nucleotides) under Oreochromis niloticus (Nile tilapia). RNAcentral's name for it is "lncRNA (ENSONIG00000042703.1)". Lineage: Eukaryota; Metazoa; Chordata; Actinopteri; Cichliformes; Cichlidae. The record is from RNAcentral.